AUUGAACGCUGGCGGAAUGCUUUACACAUGCAAGUCGAGCGGCAGCGCGGGGGCAACCCUGGCGGCGAGCGGCGAACGGGUGAGUAACAUAUCGGAACGUACCCAGUCGUGGGGGAUAACUAUCCGAAAGGAUAGCUAAUACCGCAUACGUCCUGAGGGAGAAAGCGGGGGAUCGCAAGACCUCGCGCGAUUGGAGCGGCCGAUAUCGGAUUAGCUAGUUGGUGGGGUAAAGGCUCACCAAGGCGACGAUCCGUAGCGGGUCUGAGAGGACGACCCGCCACACUGGAACUGAGACACGGUCCAGACUCCUACGGGAGGCAGCAGUGGGGAAUUUUGGACAAUGGGGGNAACCCUGAUCCAGCCAUUCCGCGUGAGUGAAGAAGGCC
This 386-nucleotide ribosomal RNA is filed under the name uncultured bacterium. RNAcentral's name for it is "bacterial SSU rRNA". It matches the Rfam family "Bacterial small subunit ribosomal RNA", at positions 29 to 416 of the family's 1533-position model. The record is from RNAcentral.